AGAUAUUCCAACACAUGUUCUGUAAUUUCCAUGCUGUGUGGUCCUAAUUGGGCUAUAAAGACAAAUCUAGCUCCUUUAUGUUUAAGGUCCAUAAGAGCAGGAAGGUGUUACCAGAGAGUGGCCUGGAACAUUUUGUGUUUGACUUGGAGAUCAAGAUGCAGCCCAGCAAGCUGAGCAACAGUUGACAAGUGCAAACAUCCCCGCUCACUCACAGGCCACCGAGUGAGGCCUUCACAUGGGUCUACCCUGUGGGAUGAUCAGGGUGCACUCAGGACAAAUCUGCCACGUCGCGUGCUUGGCAUCUGGGAUGGAAAUGUUUGACAUCUACUGUUGGUGGCAAUUUUGCCACAUGUAGGACUAGUACAAAGUGUGAUGAGAUGUUUUGGUGUGUGGAGUGAUUGA
Urocitellus parryii (Arctic ground squirrel) is the source of this 402-nucleotide long non-coding RNA. RefSeq lists it as uncharacterized. NCBI's taxonomy places the organism in Eukaryota, Metazoa, Chordata, Mammalia, Rodentia, Sciuridae. The record is from RefSeq and is a predicted model, not a curated record.